AAGUCGUAACAAGGUCUCCGUUGGUGAACCAGCGGAGGGAUCAUUACCGAGUCUUCACACUCAGACCCGACGCGAACCCGAAACUGUUGCUUCGGCAGGCCGCUGGCUCAUGCCGCGCCCGCCAAAGGUUUACGAUAGCUCUGUUAGACUCUACGUCAUCUGAAUACGCUUCUAAAAUAGUCAAAACUUUCAACAACGGAUCUCUUGGUUCUGGCAUCGAUGAAGAACGCAGCGAAAUGCGAUAAGUAAUGUGAAUUGCAGAAUUUAGUGAAUCAUCGAAUCUUUGAACGCAUAUUGCGCCCGCCAGCACUCUGGCGGGCAUGCCUGUUCGAGCGUCAUUUCAACACUCAGGUCUCAGUCGCCUGGCGUUGGGGCGCUGCGGCCCGACCCGCAGGCCCCCAAAUACAGCGGCGCAUCCGCCGCGGCCCUGAGCGCAGUAACUAUCUUCAACGCUCCGGCGGCUGUGGCGUGCGCUAAGAAAAGUCGGGAUGAGCACACAAAGUUGACCUCGGAUCAGGUAGGACUACCCGCUGAACUUAA
This 540-nucleotide ribosomal RNA is filed under the name uncultured fungus. Its description in RNAcentral is "eukaryotic LSU rRNA". The stretch from base 185 to 338 matches the Rfam family "5.8S ribosomal RNA". Lineage: Eukaryota; Fungi. The record is from RNAcentral.